GAGUAAUGUAUGGGGAUCUGCCCGAUAGAGGGGGAUAACUACUGGAAACGGUGGCUAAUACCGCAUAAUCUCUUAGGAGCAAAGCAGGGGACCUUCGGGCCUUGCGCUGUCGGAUGAACCCAUAUGGGAUUAGCUAGUAGGUAAGGUAAUGGCUUACCUAGGCGACGAUCCCUAGCUGGUCUGAGAGGAUGAUCAGCCACACUGGGACUGAGACACGGCCCAGACUCCUACGGGAGGCAGCAGUGGGGAAUAUUGCACAAUGGGCGCAAGCCUGAUGCAGCCAUGCCGCGUGUAUGAAGAAGGCCCUAGGGUUGUAAAGUACUUUCAGUCGGGAGGAAGGCGUUGAUGUUA
This 351-nucleotide ribosomal RNA is filed under the name Escherichia coli. RNAcentral describes it as "bacterial SSU rRNA". It matches the Rfam family "Bacterial small subunit ribosomal RNA", at positions 108 to 462 of the family's 1533-position model. The record is from RNAcentral. Lineage: Bacteria; Pseudomonadati; Pseudomonadota; Gammaproteobacteria; Enterobacterales; Enterobacteriaceae.